RNAcentral lists this ribosomal RNA (1073 nucleotides) under Synageles sp. Its description in RNAcentral is "partial large subunit ribosomal RNA". The record is from RNAcentral. Lineage: Eukaryota; Metazoa; Arthropoda; Arachnida; Araneae; Salticidae.
GGAUUMCCUGAGUAACGGCGAGCGAAAAGGGAGGAGCCCAGCGCCGAAUCCCCGCUCUCMGGGCGUGGGAAAUGUGGCGUUUAGGAGUGAGCGUGCCGGKYGUGGACGAGGCGGCAAGUCCCCCUGACCGGGGCUUGUCCGUAGCGGGUGCGAGGCCCAUAGCCGCCUYUUYCGCUCCGGRUGCGAUYYCCUGGGAGUCGGGUUGCUUGGGAGUGCAGCCCUAAUCGGGUGGUAAACUCCACCUAAGGCUAAAUACMGCCGUGAGACCGAUAGCAAACAAGUACCGUGAGGGAAAGUUGCAAAGAACUUUGAAGAGAGAGUUCAAGAGUACGUGAAACUGCUCAGAGGUAAACGGGUGGGCCCUCGAAAUCCUGUGGCGAGAGGAUUCAGUCUGCGUCGGGGGACUCCKMGCCGGAAGACCAGAAGGGCUUCCCUGUACAGGGGCCGUCCGGUUUGGAGGCAUCUCUCGUUCCAGACGCAUUUGUCUCUCGUCCGAAGGACGCUGCAGCCGGUYUGGCAGUGCAAGCGCGACGGCCUGAAGGGCGRGAACAGGCAGGUGGCCGGUGGCGCGUCUCGUGYGUGCUAUCGGUUGUUAGCCAUCCCGUCGGUGGCACGUCGCCAGACCGUGGUGUCGCGAGUCCCCUUCCGGGGACUCCUCGUCUCCACCCCGCAGUUGCGGGACUGAUCGUGGCARGUGCAGUUCGCACUGACCGUCGCACUCCGCAGGAGUGGACGGACGGGCGGAACGUCCCGUUGGCCGCGACGGACCCGUCGGGGACCGGAGGCUKGCAGCGAGUAGGUCGGUCACCCACCCGACCCGUCUUGAAACACGGACCAAGGAGUCUAACWUGUGCGCGAGUCAUUGGGUCUUGAACAGGCCCAGGGGCGCAAUGAAAGCGAAGGCCUGCCUAGCGCAGGMUCAGUCGRGAUCCCGCCUCUCACGGGGUGGGCGCACCGACGACACGUCCUAUCCGGCUCGCCGGUUGGGCGUAGUCUGAGCGUACACGUUGGGACCCGAUAGACGGUGAACUAUGCCCGGACAGGAUGAAGCCAGAGGAAACUCUGGUGGAGGU